Molecule: long non-coding RNA, 658 nt
Filed under: Dasypus novemcinctus (nine-banded armadillo)
Lineage: Eukaryota; Metazoa; Chordata; Mammalia; Cingulata; Dasypodidae
Description: lncRNA (ENSDNOG00000050083.1)
Source: RNAcentral
GACCCGACCUUAUAUAAUCAAGUGUAUUUCCGCAAUAAAUUGGACUAGCUCAUUCUCACAGGCUGUCUCCGUGGUUUUUACCGCGCGUCCCCCACGCCUGGAGAACCUAGGCCUACGCGCUGGCCUAGGGGCUCACUGCCGAGCCGUGGAAGCCCGCCCGGUCCUCGUGGGUUGCUAACUUAGAAUAGCAGCCCACAGCAGGGGUUGCUAACUUAGAAUAGCAGCCCACAGCAGGGGUUGCUAACUUGGAAUAGCAGCUCACAGCUGGGGGCCCGCCCGGGAUCCUUUCCUUCCACCGCCCUCCGGCCCCUCUCUGCUGCUGCUGCUGCUGUCUACUGGCGACCAUUUCAGCUCUCCAGAUCUCUCAAAGGACCCAACUCUGCAUACUCCACAAGAAAAGCCUUUGCUACCUCCGCAACCCGCCGUUGACAAGUGCCUGACCUUCACCAAAACGUGCUUUAUAGUUCAUCAGAAAAGAACUCUCAGUGCAGAUGCUCCUCAAGCUCCCCUCGCACCCACUCUUACUCUGCUUCUUUCUUGUAAUUUUCAUUUUCUUAACAAUCUUCUCAGCUGUUUGCCUCGCAGCUACAGCCCCAACAGAUUGGAACCUCCGUCAACGCCUCCUCCUCGCUGUCGCCUUUCUACUUUUAAUUGGCAU